CCUACGGGACGCACCAGUGGGGAAUAUUGCACAAUGGGCGCAAGCCUGAUGCAGCCAUGCCGCGUGUAUGAAGAAGGCCUUCGGGUUGUAAAGUACUUUCAGCGAGGAGGAAAGCAUUAAGGUUAAUAACCUUGGUGAUUGACGUUACUCGCAGAAGAAGCACCGGCUAACUCCGUGCCAGCAGCCGCGGUAAUACGGAGGGUGCAAGCGUUAAUCGGAAUUACUGGGUGUAAAGCGCACGCAGGCGGUCUGUCAAGUCGGAUGUGAAAUCCCCGGGCUCAACCUGGGAACUGCAUUCGAAACUGGCAGGCUAGAGUCUUGUAGAGGGGGGUAGAAUUCAGGGUGUAGCGGUGAAAUGCGUAGAGAUCUGGAGGAAUACCGGUGGCGAAGGCGGCCCCCUGGACAAAGGCUGACGCUCAGGUGCGAAAGCGUGGGGAGCAAACAGGAUUAGAUACCCGAGUAGUC
This 465-nucleotide ribosomal RNA is filed under the name uncultured bacterium. RNAcentral's name for it is "bacterial SSU rRNA". It matches the Rfam family "Bacterial small subunit ribosomal RNA", at positions 338 to 795 of the family's 1533-position model. The record is from RNAcentral.